UACGAAGGGGGCUAGCGUUGCUCGGAAUUACUGGGCGUAAAGCGCACGUAGGCGGCUCUUUAAGUCGGAGGUGAAAUCCUGGAGCUCAACUCCAGAACUGCCUUCGAUACUGAAGAGCUCGAGUCCGGGAGAGGUGAGUGGAACUGCGAGUGUAGCGGUGAAAUGCGCAGAUAUCAGGAGGAACACCAAUGGCGAAGGCGGUUCUCUGGGCCUUACCUGACGCUGAGGAGCGAAAGCGUGGGGAGCGAACAGG
This 253-nucleotide ribosomal RNA is filed under the name uncultured bacterium. RNAcentral's name for it is "partial 16S ribosomal RNA". It matches the Rfam family "Bacterial small subunit ribosomal RNA", at positions 524 to 776 of the family's 1533-position model. The record is from RNAcentral.